GGGCUCACGGCCUAUCAGCUUGUUGGUGAGGUAAUGGCUUACCAAGGCGACGACGGGUAGCCGGCCUGAGAGGGUGACCGGCCACACUGGGACUGAGACACGGCCCAGACUCCUACGGGAGGCAGCAGUGGGGAAUAUUGCACAAUGGGCGCAAGCCUGAUGCAGCGACGCCGCGUGAGGGAUGACGGCCUUCGGGUUGUAAACCUCUGUUAGCAUCGAAGAAGCGAAAGUGACGGUAGGUGCAGAGAAAGCGCCGGCUAACUACGUGCCAGCAGCCGCGGUAAUACGUAGGGCGCGAGCGUUGUCCGGAAUUAUUGGGCGUAAAGAGCUUGUAGGCGGUUGGUCGCGUCUGCUGUGAAAGGCUGGGGCUUAACCCUGGUUUUGCAGUGGGUACGGGCUAACUAGAGUGCAGUAGGGGAGACUGGAAUUCCUGGUGUAGCGGUGGAAUGCGCAGAUAUCAGGAGGAACACCGAUGGCGAAGGCAGGUCUCUGGGCUGUAACUGACGCUGAGAAGCGAAAGCAUGGGGAGCGAACAGGAUUAGAUACCCUGGUAGUCCAUGCCGUAAACGUUGGGCACUAGGUGUGGGGGACAUUCCACGUUUUCCGCGCCGUAGCUAACGCAUUAAGUGCCCCGCCUGGGGAGUACGGCCGCAAGGCUAAAACUCAAAGAAAUUGACGGGGGCCCGCACAAGCGGCGGAGCAUGCGGAUUAAUUCGAUGCAACGCGAAGAACCUUACCAAGGCUUGACAUAUACUGGACUGCGUCAGAGAUGGCGUUUCCCUUCGGGGCUGGUAUACAGGUGGUGCAUGGUUGUCGUCAGCUCGUGUCGUGAGAUGUUGGGUUAAGUCCCGCAACGAGCGCAACCCUCGUUCUAUGUUGCCAGCACGUGAUGGUGGGGACUCAUAGGAGACUGCCGGGGUCAACUCGGAGGAAGGUGGGGAUGACGUCAAAUCAUCAUGCCCCUUAUGUCUUGGGCUUCACGCAUGCUACAAUGGCCGGUACAGAGGGUUGCGAUACUGUGAGGUGGAGCUAAUCCCUAAAAGCCGGUCUCAGUUCGGAUUGGGGUUCUGCGAACUCGACCCCCAUGAAAGUUCGGAGUCGCUAGUGAAUCGCGGAUCGGGCAAACGCUGCGGUGAAUACGUUUCCCGGGC
This 1151-nucleotide ribosomal RNA is filed under the name uncultured bacterium. RNAcentral describes it as "bacterial SSU rRNA". It matches the Rfam family "Bacterial small subunit ribosomal RNA", at positions 227 to 1379 of the family's 1533-position model. The record is from RNAcentral.